UACGUAGGGGGCGAGCGUUGUCCGGAGUUACUGGGCGUAAAGCGCACGCAGGCGGUCUGCUAAGUUUGGAGUGACAGUUGGUGGCUUAACUGCCAAAGUGCUUCGAAAACUGACAGACUUGAGGGCUUCAGAGGGACACGGAAUUCCGGGUGGAGUGGUGAAAUGCGUAGAGAUCCGGAGGAACACCAGUGGCGAAGGCGGCUCACUGGCCCGAUACUGACGCUGAGGCACGAAAGCGUGGGGAGCAAACAGG
Molecule: ribosomal RNA, 253 nt
Filed under: uncultured bacterium
Lineage: Bacteria
Description: partial 16S ribosomal RNA
Rfam family: Bacterial small subunit ribosomal RNA
Source: RNAcentral